GUCCUGGCAGUAAACGGUGCACGCUUGGUGUGGGAAGGUUCGACCCUUUCCGUGCCGUAGCAAACGUGUUAAGCGUGCCGCCUGGGGAGUACGGCCGCAAGGUUAAAACUCAAAGAAAUUGACGGGGACCCGCACAAGCGGUGGAGUAUGUGGCUUAAUUCGAUGCAACGCGAAGAACCUUACCUAGGUUUGACAUGCAUCUCUAAGUUUAUGAAAGUAAGCGAGCGUAGCAAUACGCAAUUUGCACAGGUGCUGCAUGGCUGUCGU
RNAcentral lists this ribosomal RNA (267 nucleotides) under uncultured bacterium. Its description in RNAcentral is "partial 16S ribosomal RNA". It matches the Rfam family "Bacterial small subunit ribosomal RNA", at positions 793 to 1055 of the family's 1533-position model. The record is from RNAcentral.